UACGUUGAUGCAAGCUUUGACACUGAUCCGGACGAUUCUAAAUCGCAAACAGGAUACGUGUUUACAUUGAACGGUGGAGGUGUCAGUUGGUGCAGUUCUAAACAAAGCGUCGUGGCGGGAUCUACAUGUGAAGCAGAGUACAUAGCUGCUUCAGAAGCAGCAAAUGAAGGAGUCUGGAUGAUGGAGUUCAUAUCCGAUCUAGGUGUCAUACCUAGUGCAUCGGGUCCAAUGAAAAUCUUUUGUGACAAUACUGGAGCAAUAGCCUUGGCGAAGGAAUCCAGAUUUCACAAGAGAACCAAGCACAUCAAGAGAUGCUUCAAUUCCAUCUGGGAUCUAGUCCAGGUGGGAGACAUAGAG
Molecule: ribosomal RNA, 357 nt
Filed under: Triticum aestivum (bread wheat)
Lineage: Eukaryota; Viridiplantae; Streptophyta; Magnoliopsida; Poales; Poaceae
Description: partial small subunit ribosomal RNA
Source: RNAcentral